Molecule: long non-coding RNA, 253 nt
Filed under: Numida meleagris (helmeted guineafowl)
Lineage: Eukaryota; Metazoa; Chordata; Aves; Galliformes; Numididae
Description: lncRNA (ENSNMEG00000018456.1)
Source: RNAcentral
AGAGAGAUAGAGAGUCUUACCUGCUCAGGACUUUCCUCAUCAGCAGUGGCACAAUUACAAAAGGAUAACAAAGGCAGCAGAAAAGGCAAGGAACUGGAAGAAGCUUGUUCAAAUGGACUGCCACUGCAUAAUUUCAGCCAGGGUUGAAUUACCGAGGAGUCGCAAUGUAACGUGUGAUUUGUGCUGACAGGAAGAGCUGCUCAGAGCUGGCAGAGCUUUUAUUGUGGCUUGGGACUCCAUCCCAUAGUGAUAC